Molecule: ribosomal RNA, 229 nt
Filed under: uncultured bacterium
Lineage: Bacteria
Description: partial 16S ribosomal RNA
Rfam family: Bacterial small subunit ribosomal RNA
Source: RNAcentral
UGCGUAGGCGGGGCAAUUAGUCAGUGGGGAAAUCCUGCGGCUUAACCGUAGAACUGCCAUUGAUACUGUUGCCCUUGAGUAUAGUUGAGGUGGGCGGAAUGUGUAAUGUAGCGGUGAAAUGCAUAGAGAUUACACAGAACACCAAUUGCGAAGGCAGCUCACUAAGCUAUAACUGACGCUGAGGCACGAAAGCGUGGGGAGCAAACAGGAUUAGAUACCCUGGUAGUCC